UAACACUCUCUGUUGUGAAAAAAUAAAACUUCCAGUUUACGUUUCUAAAAAUAGACAAAUCAAUUAUAACUGACCUUGAAAUGUCGUUUACGCAAAUAAUUUUGCGGAACGAAAUCUGUGUUUAAAAUCCAUUACACAAUAAGUUCGUUUCCCUUAUUUGUCAUCAGUCUGUAAGAUGCAUAAUCUCAUAGAAAUAGACUUGUCCAAAUGUGGACAGGUGGAAAGCACCUUGGAAGUAAAAGUUCUGAAUAUCAACAAGUCAUUUAGAAUUUUCUUGUUUCAUGGAUAAAAAAAAAAAUAUCGUCCAUUUGGAUAAAAAACGGGAAUGCAUGACACUAGAUUAUAAACCCGACAUUCUCGUUUUUUUCCGUGGACGAGUCUAUUACGUUUUUGACACGUGUGUUGAAACUUAUUUUCG
Molecule: long non-coding RNA, 418 nt
Filed under: Mytilus galloprovincialis (Mediterranean mussel)
Lineage: Eukaryota; Metazoa; Mollusca; Bivalvia; Mytilida; Mytilidae
Source: RNAcentral